Molecule: ribosomal RNA, 323 nt
Filed under: uncultured eukaryote
Lineage: Eukaryota
Description: partial 18S ribosomal RNA
Rfam family: Eukaryotic small subunit ribosomal RNA
Source: RNAcentral
CCCUUAGAUGUUCUGGGCCGCACGCGUGCUACACUGAGUGGAUCAGCGGGUCAGGUUGCGCGAAAGCGUUUCCUAAUCUUUAAAUCCGCUCGUGAUGGGGAUUGACGGUUGCAAUUUUCUGUCAUGAACGAGGAAUACCUUGUAAGCGCGGGUCAUCAUCCCGCGCUGAAUACGUCCCUGCCCUUUGUACACACCGCCUGUCGCUACUACCGAUUGAAUGGCUUAGUGAGAUUUCCGGAUCGGCGUUGGGGAGCCGGCAACGGCACCCCUUGGCUGAGAAGUUACUCAAACUUGGUCAUUUAGAGGAAGUAAAAGUCAUAACA